Macaca mulatta (Rhesus monkey) is the source of this 2067-nucleotide non-coding RNA. The record is from RefSeq and is a predicted model, not a curated record. NCBI's taxonomy places the organism in Eukaryota, Metazoa, Chordata, Mammalia, Primates, Cercopithecidae.
GAAGCAGAAACCAGAGAAACUGUCCUUUUCUUGUUGGUCACAGACAAAAUAUUUUCUUCAGAUGUAGCUUCUUGGAUUUCCCAUGAAAACCUUUCCAGAGAUUUGUUUGGUCGCUGGUGUUGAUUCCAACUGCCAGGUACUGGCUCCUGCUUUGGAUUUUCAGAGGAAAGGUUUUUCUCCGUGGAUGAUCCAUGUCUUAAAUUGACUCGUCCCUCCUGAUAUAUGAAAGCCUCCAUUGAGAGAAAGGAGACAGAACAAAGCAAGAGAGGCAAAGAAUCUGCAUUUCCAUACCGUCUCAUUGUCUUCUUCAUCUUUCUCAUCCUCCACAAAUCGGAUUGCACUGACUCUGUUGACAGCACGCUCGUUCCAGGCUUCAUCAGAGACAUCAUUUACCAAGUUCUCCAGCGCACCACAGCGAGGCAGAUUCUCUGCAGUGACAAAGACCACAUCAGCAGGGAACUGCGGUUCAUGUGACCGGUAAAAGCCAUGAACUUUGCAGCUGACAAGGCAGAAUCUAUGCGGAGGACCAGGGGUAGAACACCAGAAAGAAGGGUGGUGUUCUGUGGCAAGUUUGGCUUUAAAACACAAACACACACAAAAUUCAAAAACAAAAAGAAAAAGGCCCGGGGCAAGGUGGCCCCUUCUUUUUUAAUGAUGUAUAACUCUAUUUGAGAUCAUAUAAAAUAUCUGCUAAAUUAAUAUGUUUAAUAUUUCAUCACAGAAUGUCAUAAUUUAGAGUCCCUUUUAAAAUACUUAUUUUAUGCAACUUCAAAACUGUCCUGACAGUGAUGUGGCCGCACAGGUUGGACACCAGUACUUUCCUCAGUAACACACUCUACCACGUUUUCCCUUAGGGUCUUAAAGUCCUCCCACUGGGGCUCCCAUUCCCCCAGGGCACUCCGGUUCCCCUCCACCAAGCCCAGCCCUCAGCAAAGGGUUUAUGAUAGCAUUUUGAUGUUAACGUGAAUUUUUUUUUAACCACGCGGUUUACAAAACAAAGAUACAAUGACUCAAAAUAAUUCAAUGGCUUAAAAACAGUAUGCCAGUGGUGUUAGUACUAAUCCCCUGAACUAUCAGUUUGGAUUUUAAGAGACUCUGUUACCACUUUUAGAAGUAUUGUAUUUUCAGCCUUAGCUAUAAUUCAAAACCAAAAAACUGCUUAUGGAAUUUCAAACAUGAUAAAUAGAUAUGAGCGGCCCUUCUGCAAGGAUGUAGGGUAACCUUUCCGGAAGAGUCCCACAGUGUCCUCACCCGAGCCGGCUCUAGGUGCAGACUGGAUAUAACACAAUCACAUGAAGGAGUAAGAGGCCUUAUGGACAGACAUUAGGUCCUACUCAAUCUCGUGGCCCUGUGAAUACUGUCCUUAAAUUAAAUUCACCUUGACAAGUAGGUUCAGAAGGCAGCUGAGGAAGUAAGACACAGGUUAAAAUCUUCUCUCCCGUGGUGUAGUCUGUGUCUGUCUGGAAUGUAAGCAGGGGCUGGGACUGGUUGUCAGAUAGCCACAGAGCCUUCAACUUCAAGGCAGUCAGGGAUAAAGGUAGAUGCAGCAACCUAUUUUUUUUUUUUUUUUAAAAAAAAGAGACAUUACAACCUCAAAUUUUAUAAUCAAAUCAAUCCCUAUCCAUAAAAUGAGGAAAAAUUAAAAACAGCUUCCUGAGAUUGGUUUCAAAAUGUAAAAACGAUGUUAUGUUUUUAAGACACUUGACAUACUCUUUGCAAGUGGAUUCUUCAGUAGGUUCCUGUGCUUCCCUUUUCUGCUCUCACUUCUCCCAUGAGAACCUCCAGAUUACAGGGCAAAAAAAAAAAAAAGAGAGAGAAAAUUGUAGGACACAUUUUUAGGGUCUUGUACUAGGUUUCAAUGUAAAGAGAGAAAAAAAGUCAAGGUGAUUUUGGAAGGACCCAGAGGAGGUUCUUUACCUCUGAUGGCGACAGCCUCACUGACAGGGCUGGUUUUGAAGCUGCGGGAUUACCUGUUUCCAGGAGCACCUGAUGAAUCAGGCCAAGAGGAAGGAGGUGCCUGGGGUGUCAAAGCAUUUAAGUUGCAGCCAAAAUAAAGAUUAAACCCCA